GACGAACGCUGGCGGCGUGCUUAACACAUGCAAGUCGUACGGUAAGGCCCUUUCUGGGGUACACGAGUGGCGAACGGGUGAGUAACACGUGAGUAACCUGCCCACAACUUUGGGAUAACGCUAGGAAACUGGUGCUAAUACUGGAUAUGUGCCCCUGCUGCCUGGUGGGGGUUGGAAAGCUCCGGCGGUUGUGGAUGGACUCGCGGCCUAUCAGCCUGUUGGUGGGGUAGUGGCCUACCAAGGCGGCGACGGGUAGCCGGCCUGAGAGGGUGACCGGCCACAAUGGGGGUGGGGAACGGGCCAGACUCCUUCCGGAGGCAGCAGGGGGGAAUAUUGCACAAAGGGCGCGAGCCUGAUGCAGCAACGCCGCGUGGGGGAAUACGGCCUUCGGGUUGGAAACCGCUUUCAGCAGGGACGAAGCUUUUUGUGACGGUACUUGCAGAAGAAGCACCGGCUAACUACGUG
Molecule: ribosomal RNA, 465 nt
Filed under: uncultured bacterium
Lineage: Bacteria
Description: partial 16S ribosomal RNA
Rfam family: Bacterial small subunit ribosomal RNA
Source: RNAcentral